Molecule: long non-coding RNA, 588 nt
Filed under: Triticum aestivum (bread wheat)
Lineage: Eukaryota; Viridiplantae; Streptophyta; Magnoliopsida; Poales; Poaceae
Description: long non-coding RNA (TAES_LNC019657)
Source: RNAcentral
CCAGUUCGCGGCGUCCAUCGCUUCUGUCCAAGCGCUCUUCAUCUUGUGUGUCAUCUGCAAGGCAAUCAAGUUAAUUAGAUGUUGCUCUUUUCAUGAUCUGCUUCAUACAUACAUGCAUAUGUGAUUGCUUCCUACCUUCCUGCCUGCUACAUCUCUGCUAGCAUAAAUCAAAGAGAAGAAAGAAAUCUACCUAUUUUUAUCUGCAGCCUUUAAUGAAUUCUAUGAAUCUUUAGCCUUUAAUGAAUUCAAUGUAUGAUUGUGAUGAGAAUUAUGGUACUACUUGCUGUUUGCAUCCUAUACUUUUCUUGUGAAUGAUGCUAUGUUGUCCUGCAGACUAUCAUAUAUUUUUGUGUUGUUUUUGCUGAAUAGAUUGAAUAUCUUUGUUACACACUGUAGCUUGUAGCUUUGCAAACUAACCUCCUCUAGUUCUCUUACUUUUCUGCAGACCGCCCAUGGCAUGGACGGCGACGACGACAGGAGGACGCCAGUUCUAGCCGGGAACAUGGCCUUGUCCUGCUCGAGGAGGAGGGACGCACCUAGGCACCGGCCCUGUCCCGCAACAAGGGGUCUGCUCCUCUGCUUCCAAGG